GUGGGGAAUAUUGCACAAUGGGCGGAAGCCUGAUGCAGCAACGCCGCGUGCGGGAUGACGGCCUUCGGGUUGUAAACCGCUUUCAGCAGGGACGAAGCGUGAGUGACGGUACCUGCAGAAGAAGCACCGGCUAACUACGUGCCAGCAGCCGCGGUGAUACGUAGGGUGCGAGCGUUGUCCGGAUUUAUUGGGCGUAAAGAGCUUGUAGGCGGUUGGUUGCGUCGAAAGUGCAAACUCAGGGCUUAACUCUGAGCCUGCUUUCGAUACGGGCUGACUGGAGGAAGGUAGGGGAGAAUGGAAUUCCCGGUGGAGCGGUGGAAUGCGCAGAUAUCGGGAGGAACACCAGUGGCGAAGGCGGUUCUCUGGACCUUUCCUGACGCUGAGAAGCGAAAGCGUGGGGAGCAAACAGGAUUAGAAACCCUAGUAGUCC
RNAcentral lists this ribosomal RNA (430 nucleotides) under uncultured bacterium. RNAcentral's name for it is "partial 16S ribosomal RNA". It matches the Rfam family "Bacterial small subunit ribosomal RNA", at positions 354 to 796 of the family's 1533-position model. The record is from RNAcentral.